Molecule: long non-coding RNA, 2412 nt
Organism: Symphalangus syndactylus (siamang)
Lineage: Eukaryota; Metazoa; Chordata; Mammalia; Primates; Hylobatidae
Source: RefSeq, a predicted model, not a curated record
CAGCAGCAUCUGUUAUAUCUUCAACCUCUUCUCACAGUUCUUUCUCUAAUGGACAUGAGCCCUUUCACAUGGAGGCCUUUUUCAUACAACGCCUCUAAGACUACUGGGGCUGGAAGUUGAAUGAAAUCCAAAGUAUUUCCAGUGGUCUACAGGACCAGACAAUCCAUCAUGGAUCUCUCCUACUCUCCCAUCAUCCACCAUGCUCCAGUCACCUUGGACUCUUUGCUGGUUGGUGAAGACACUGUCGCGCUCCUGCUUGGGCCUUUCAUUUCCACGUGAGAUGAUCUUCAGAUAGCCACACUGCUUGUUCCCUCACCUCCUUCAGGUUUUGACCCUCAUGUCUCCUCAGUGAGAUCUUCUCUGAACACCCUAAUUGAUAUUUCAAACCCCUGAUUGCUUUCCAGAGCUUUUAACCAAGAGCCUGGUGACUUUACUGUGGCCCCUUCCCCUAGGAGGUCUUUAUUUCCUUCACAGACUGGAAACUCCUUUCUGCUUGUCACAGUGGUUUGGCUUAGUUUGUGAGCUUCCUACUUCAUAAAACUUUAGAAUACAGCACAUGCUUUGAAGGGAAAACCAGAAAUUCAUGAAAUCCCUCCAGUCUCUGAUUUUGUCACUCCAGCCCCACACAAUUGCUAAAAACUCUGCUACUUUCUUUCUUCCCAAGCAGUGGCCUUCUGCUUUGGCUGAGCCUGGAUUCUCAGCUUCUAGCCCGUGUUCAGUAGCUUCAAAUGCUCCCUGAGAAAAAUGCGGCUAGAGCUGGUGUUCUCCUCUUUAGAUUUUAAUCUAUUUCUUCUUUAUUCUGAAACUUUCUGAGAGCUCUGAACAGAUAGAUUUUGUAUUUUAUCCAGAGCUUCUUAUUGGCCUUGGUGAGAACAUUGGUCUAGCAUAAACCACUCCAUCCUACCAUCCUUCUCUCAUAUUUUGAGACUCUUUUUCUUCCUUGGUCUCUGUGUUAGAAUGCAAUUUUCACAAGGUCUUAUAUUCAUCUCCAUUUUUAGUUUUUACAGCUGUCUGUUACAGUGUGGGCUUUUGGUAAAUAUUUGUUGAAUAACUGUAUGUGUGUACAUAUAGUUUAUGCUCUCUAACUACUUGUAAUCCACAAAUUAUUAACAAAUUAUGAUGUUACUAUGAGAUAAUAAUAUGUAAAAUACUGGUUAUAAACCUGAAAUUUACACUGGAUCAUCUGAGAAGGGAUCCCAUAUAAAGGUUGUUAUCUUUCAGAAUAACUGGGAAAUUAAGCAUGAGAAUUGUUUAUCAUUUCCAGUUGCAGGAAGUAUAUGAAAAAAAUUAAUAAAACAGUGGUCAUAAAUGUGAGACUCAAACUAAAAAUAACAAAUCCCGUUAUUACUAAUUGCAGACAUUGAUAUGUCAAUUGAUCUGUAUUUUAUACAAAAGCUACAGUUCUAUGUAGCUUGUUCCUGAGAAAGUAAUAGCAGCGAUUAAUUUAUUUAACUAUGGUUAAUAUUUGACUAAUCAGUUUUGGGAAAGCCAGCUAAUAAAUAUGUGUACUAUGGAGAUGGAUGGAUAGAUAUGUAGAUACAUACAUACAUAAAGAGAUAGAUAGAUAGACAGAUAGAUGUACAGAUACAGAUAGAUAUCCUGAUGGUGAUUAAAAUAUGAUCUUUUAUUUUAUUUAGCCAGAAAGAUGCUGGGAAUUCACUUUACAAAAGGCAUGGAUUUGCACAGACAGAAAGAGACAGAUGUUCUAGAUCAGCAAGGGAUGAUCUUUCAUGGUAUCGUUGGGGGUGGAUUAUUUUUAGAAUGGCUGCUAAGAAACUUGAGGAAUUUGAGCACUGCAAGUUGCCACCCUGGGGUCAUGAGCUAAAGAUACUUAUACUCAAAUGGAGAAAGAGGAGAUUUAGGUGGAAAGAUCAAGAGCAUUGUGUUGGACAUGUUAAGUUUGAGGUGUCUAAUGACAUGAUGAGUAGGCAGUUGUGUAAGUGAAUAGAAGGGAAAUCUGAGCCUGAGACAUAAUUUUUUAGUUCACUACAGAUUUUGCCACCAAUGAAUUUCUGUGCAGGUCUGCUUUUCUUGCCAAAUAAGUUACAGAGUAGGGGAAAAAAAACCAACUUUGGUUUCUAGAGUUCUAUUGUUUUUAUAAAUGUGCACUCAGGGCCAGACGCAGUGGCUCACGCCUGUAAUCCCAGCAAUUUGGGAGGCCAAGGUGGGCAGAUCAUCUGAGGUCAGGAGUUAGAGACCAGCCUGACCAACAUGGUGAAACCCCAUCUCUACUAAAAAUACAAAAAUUAGCCAGGCAUGAUGGUGUACACAUGUAAUCCCAGCUACUUAGGAGGCAGAGACAGGAGAAUCACCUGAACCCAGGAGGCAGAGGUUGCAGUGAGCCAAGAUGGUGCCAUUGCACUCCAGCCUGGGCAACAGAGUGAGACUCCAUCUAAAAAAAAUGAAAGAAAA